This 484-nucleotide ribosomal RNA is filed under the name uncultured bacterium. RNAcentral's name for it is "partial 16S ribosomal RNA". It matches the Rfam family "Bacterial small subunit ribosomal RNA", at positions 30 to 507 of the family's 1533-position model. The record is from RNAcentral.
AUUGAACGCUGGCGGCAGGCCUAACACAUGCAAGUCGAGCGGAUGAAGGGAGCUUGCUCCUGGAUUCAGCGGCGGACGGGUGAGUAAUGCCUAGGAAUCUGCCUGGUAGUGGGGGAUAACGUCCUGAAACGGGCGCUCAUACCGCAUACGUCCUGAGGGAGAAAGUGGUGGAUCUUCGGACCUCGCGCUAUCAGAUGAUCCUCGGUCGGAUUAGCUAGUUGGUGGGGUCAGGGCCUUCCCAGGCGACGAUCCGUAACUGGUAUGAAAGGAUGAUCAGUCAGACUGGAACUGAGACACGGUCCAGACUCCGACGGGAGGCAGCAGUGGGGAAUAUUGGACGAUGGGCGAAAGCCUGAUACAGCCAAGCCGCGUGUGUGAAGAAGGUCUGCGGAUUGGAAAGCACAUUAAGUUGGGAGGAAGGGCAGUAAGUUAAGAACGUGCUGUGUUGACGGUACCAACAGAAGAAGCACCGGCUAACUUCGUG